AAAAUCACGACACCGUAAAUCCACAAGCAAACAAAAUCAGCUGACAUUUUUCUCCCCGGUAGAUCUUCAUGUCAAGACUUGGAGUAUAUAUGCGUGAAGAAUUAUUGGAGGCUGACGAAAUAUUUUGUCGCACAUCAAAUGGUAAAAUUUGUGUCGAAUGUGGCAAUGGGAAGUGACGAUUUGAAGUUGUCUAUGGAGGGUGGUGUGGGGUCCACUCCCUUAGAAACAAGGGAAUUCGCUGGUGCACAAA
Molecule: non-coding RNA, 250 nt
Organism: Erythranthe guttata (spotted monkey flower)
Lineage: Eukaryota; Viridiplantae; Streptophyta; Magnoliopsida; Lamiales; Phrymaceae
Source: RefSeq, a predicted model, not a curated record